UUGGGUGAGACCGGGCUAUAUAAAAGGGCGGAGCACAAAGCUGAAGCUUUCUCAGUAGUUCUCCCGUCACACUGUUGGGUACCCAAACUACCAGGUGCUCUUUGGUUGGCUGGGCGCUAGAUGGUUGGAGGUUAGACUGGCCAGUUGGAGUAGCAGCCACAGGAUCUUUACCACCACAGAGCCUGUGGAAGGUGUGGAGGAUCCAACUUUCUUUUUUUUUACGACUGCAUUCCGGAACGCUUUUUUUCCCUGGAGCAAGUCGGAAACCCUGAAUUUCAAGUCAUUUUUUGCCGCAUUCCUCCUUUUUGCCUGACCAAAAGGGUGUAAUCGCAACCAGGUCUCCAGACCAGAGCUGCAUCAACACACCGCGCAAAGAAACCAACCCCAGACCCACUACAGACAUGAUCAUCAGACUGGGCAGGCUGACCCCUGGAUACUUCCGCCUCCUACAGAGACAGGUGGCGGGUGAGGUGCAGACCCAGCCACAGGACCGCGCGGUCAACCAGAUAGCCAUGAUGCUGGCCAUCAUGGGCCUGAGCCUGUCCUACUACAGUGCCAAACGGAUGACGGAGAAGGUCCAUAGGCUCCAGAAGAGAAGAGAUCCCCAUACCCCCUGAAGAGACCCCCCUGGAGAUUACAGUGUCGGUGUCCAGAACAACACCUUUUCACAACCAAUCAGUCGUAGUCACGUCGUUCAGACACUGGAGUUUUACUGGGAUCACUCUCAAUGUGAGGAGAAUUCGGGAAUUCGGGGGGAGUGUAUGUGGGAAAGGGUGUGUAUGUGGGAAAGGCCCAUGGUGGGGUUUGUGUGGUCCUGAUAACGUUUGGGGGG
Long non-coding RNA from Oncorhynchus tshawytscha (Chinook salmon), 832 nucleotides. RefSeq lists it as uncharacterized. The transcript is spliced from 3 exons. Lineage: Eukaryota; Metazoa; Chordata; Actinopteri; Salmoniformes; Salmonidae. The record is from RefSeq and is a predicted model, not a curated record.